This 253-nucleotide ribosomal RNA is filed under the name uncultured bacterium. Its description in RNAcentral is "partial 16S ribosomal RNA". It matches the Rfam family "Bacterial small subunit ribosomal RNA", at positions 524 to 776 of the family's 1533-position model. The record is from RNAcentral.
UACGUAGGGUCCGAGCGUUGUCCGGAAUUAUUGGGCGUAAAGGGCGCGUAGGCGGCCUGCUAAGUCGGAUGUGAAAUCCCUCGGCUCAACCGAGGAACUGCAUCCGAUACUGGCGGGCUUGAAUCCGGGAGAGGGAUGUGGAAUUCCAGGUGUAGCGGUGAAAUGCGUAGAUAUCUGGAGGAACACCGGUGGCGAAGGCGGCAUCCUGGACCGGUAUUGACGCUGAGGCGCGAAAGCUAGGGGAGCAAACGGG